RNAcentral lists this long non-coding RNA (361 nucleotides) under Physcomitrium patens. Its description in RNAcentral is "long non-coding RNA (PPAT_LNC014125)". The record is from RNAcentral. Lineage: Eukaryota; Viridiplantae; Streptophyta; Bryopsida; Funariales; Funariaceae.
AGCCAUCAAUAGUGUCUCAUUCUAGGGCAAGAAGACCACAUUAUUGUUUGAUUGUUAUUAAGGCCUUUAUAGCUUCUUUUAAACAAUUCAUUUGUAAGACCAUAAAGAAUCAUUCUUACUUCCAAUAAAAUCAUCAAAUAUCAAGAAUCUCUUUCAAGAUUGUGAUAUCAUUUUUUAUUUUUAUUUUUAUCCUACCAUCUAUUCAAAAAACAUAUUGUUCUUCACGAUUAUGUCAUUUUGAACAUUGUAAUGAUUGCAAUAUCUUGUUUAAUAAGUAAGCAAAUGAUAGCUAGUGUGUUGAAUCUACUAGUUGUAGAUUCUUUAUUUUUUCAAUCCUACAAAUAUAAAGAAACCAUAAAUA